CUGUCAAAAAAUGUGUCAAUUUUUCGGUUCAAUAUUACACAUGUUUUUAAACAGCCCGAGUACGCUUCAGGAAGUGUAGUUUUAGAUGUUAUAAAAACUUCAACUGCAUGUUUUCAUUUGGUAAAUUGAUGGUGACUCGUGAUCCAUCUGGAGCCGCAAAGGAUGUGGAAAGUCGCUUGGCAGAUCGAAGACGGUAAUUCUAGUUGGCACUUCGCCAUCGGUCGUAUUGAAAACAUGUCGAUUCCUCAAGAAAAUGAACCAGGGUCACAAAUCCUAGGCUUAUUCUGAACUCAGAGGGAAGUAUGGAAAAAGCAGCCAAAUUUUUCCGACAAUCAUUUUUUCCAAAAAAAGAUUGUAAUGUUUUGUGAAAUAA
Molecule: long non-coding RNA, 373 nt
Organism: Uranotaenia lowii
Lineage: Eukaryota; Metazoa; Arthropoda; Insecta; Diptera; Culicidae
Exons: 3
Source: RefSeq, a predicted model, not a curated record